Molecule: ribosomal RNA, 423 nt
Filed under: uncultured bacterium
Lineage: Bacteria
Description: bacterial SSU rRNA
Rfam family: Bacterial small subunit ribosomal RNA
Source: RNAcentral
UGGGGAAUCUUGCGCAAUGGAGGAAACUCUGACGCAGCAACGCCGCGUGUGUGAAGAAGGCCUUCGGGUCGUAAAGCACUGUCAGGAGGGAAGAGCACCGGAUUUUACGAGUCCGGCUCGACGGUACCUCCGAAGGAAGCACCGGCUAACUCCGUGCCAGCAGCCGCGGUAAUACGGAGGGUGCAAGCGUUGUUCGGAAUCAUUGGGCGUAAAGCGUGCGCAGGCGGCCUGUUAAGUCUGGUGUGAAAACCCGGGGCUCAACCCUGGAGGUGCAUUGGAAACUGGCAGGCUUGAAUCCGAGAGGGGUCAGUGGAAUUCGUGGUGUAGGGGUGAAAUCCGUAGAGAUCACGAGGAACACCGGCGGCGAAGGCGACUGACUGGAUCGGUAUUGACGCUGAGGCACGAAAGCGUGGGGAGCAAACA